AAAUUGAAGAGUUUGAUCAUGGCUCAGAUUGAACGCUGGCGGCAGGCCUAACACAUGCAAGUCGAACGGUAACAGGAAGAAGCUUGCUUCUUUGCUGACGAGUGGCGGACGGGUGAGUAAUGUCUGGGAAACUGCCUGAUGGAGGGGGAUAACUACUGGAAACGGUAGCUAAUACCGCAUAACGUCGCAAGACCAAAGAGGGGGAGCUUCGGGCCUCUUGCCAUCGGAUGUGCCCAGAUGGGAUUAGCUAGUAGGUGGGGUAACGGCUCACC
This 272-nucleotide ribosomal RNA is filed under the name Escherichia coli. Its description in RNAcentral is "partial 16S ribosomal RNA". It matches the Rfam family "Bacterial small subunit ribosomal RNA", at positions 1 to 269 of the family's 1533-position model. The record is from RNAcentral. RNAcentral also lists the same sequence under 1 other name. Lineage: Bacteria; Pseudomonadati; Pseudomonadota; Gammaproteobacteria; Enterobacterales; Enterobacteriaceae.